UUUGAAACAGCUCUAGGCU
Molecule: unclassified non-coding RNA, 19 nt
Filed under: Mus musculus (house mouse)
Lineage: Eukaryota; Metazoa; Chordata; Mammalia; Rodentia; Muridae
Description: oocyte_clustered_small_RNA12921
Source: RNAcentral